UAGUAUUUAAAAGGUGAGAGAGUAUCGUUGAGGUCAGCAUUAAUUUCUUUCAUGCAAUCAUAGACAUUUCAUAAUUUCACCAAUGUGUACUAUGUUAUUUAUUUUGUUCUAUUUUAUUUGUGUUAGAGUUUAUAUUUGGGUUUACGGUUUAUAUUUGGGUAAGGGUUUAGUGAUUAUAAUUUAGGGUUUAGUAUUUAGAAGGUGAGGAAGUAUGAUUGGGGUCAUCAUUAACUUCUUACAUGCAAUCAUAGACAUUUCAUAAUUUCACUAAUAUGAACUAUGUUAUUUAUUUUGUUCUAUUCUAUUUGGGUUAGAGUUAUAUUUGGGUUUAUGAUUUAUAUUUAGGUAAGGGUUUAGUAAUUGUAAUUUAGGAUUUAGUAUUUAGAGGUCGAGGUGUGAUUGGGACAAAGUUUAGUACCUAGGGUUUGCAGUUGUGAUAUGUUUAGUAUUACGGGUUGUAGGUGAAGUUAUAAUCUUAUACUACUUCAGUUAUAUAGAAUAAAACAUUUGGUAUAUCUAUGUAUGUGACUAAUAAAAGUGUAACGUGGAUGACUCCUUCUUCUUUCUAAUAAAAUAUUUAAGACAUACUUGACUAUGUAUUACAUAGACUACGUGGACACACAGAACACAUUUUUACUGGAUAAUGGCAAAGAAGAAAAGUAUAACCGGAUGAAUUAGGGUGUUAAAUGUUAGUUUAUUCAUUAUG
RNAcentral lists this long non-coding RNA (706 nucleotides) under Brassica napus (rape). Its description in RNAcentral is "long non-coding RNA (BNAP_LNC022736)". The record is from RNAcentral. Lineage: Eukaryota; Viridiplantae; Streptophyta; Magnoliopsida; Brassicales; Brassicaceae.